Cercocebus atys (sooty mangabey) is the source of this 869-nucleotide long non-coding RNA. RefSeq lists it as uncharacterized. The record is from RefSeq and is a predicted model, not a curated record. The transcript is spliced from 3 exons. Lineage: Eukaryota; Metazoa; Chordata; Mammalia; Primates; Cercopithecidae.
CUGGCCAAGCCAGUGACAGCCUUUCCAAGGAACGUGGGCAGGCUGAGCAGCCCUGGCCCCAGGUCCCCCGUGGGCCUGCCAGGAGGCAUGCCGCUGUGUCAGGGAGGCUGUCCCUGGGGGCAUGUGGGUAGCCAGUGAGGGGGGUCACUGCCCCCAGCUCGGCGAUGGAUGUAUUCAAGGCUGGGGCAUCUCCAGCCGCCAGGCCCUGGAGCUUUGCGGGUGCAUCAGGGUUCCAGACCGCCCAGGUUUGAACAGCGCUGCCAUGCACGUCUGUCGACUUCGGCGAAUGGCUCCUCCUCACUCUCCCCAUCUGCGGCAUGAGCACCAUCAAAGCCCCGGGUGACGCAGCUCCAGGGAGCCUGCAGCAGGUGCCUCCCGGCUGCCCUGACCUCCACGUCCCGGGCUACACCGGCCACUCUGGGUGCUCAUCACUGGAGGGUGGGAGCCCAGAGUCCUGCUCACAGUCAAGUGUCCUUGUGGUCUGGAGACCCAGAGCUCUCCCAGAAUCGACCUGAAGAAUCUCAUUCUCGGCUCCCCAGGGAGCGCCACUGCCUGUCCUGGUUCCAGAGGCUGCUCUGCUUCCCGGGAGGAAGAGCCUAGUGACCUGAUUUCACCCGAGCCCCAAGGAGGGGCCCGGCAAGGUGAGGAAAGCCUGGGGGAGCUGGAUCGGGUGCCGGCUGCAGGGCCGCAGGCUGGACCCUGCUAGGACAGCCACCAGUGGUGGGACAGCUGAGCCCACACCUGCUUGAAACCAGCCAGGGCAGGUGGCAAAGGGCAGGCUGGACCCUCAGCCUCGGACCUCGCCCAGGGAACCAGGAGACGCCUCACAGGAGUGGCUCGCACCUGCCGCUCUGGGACUCCCUGGACCU